UCCACCGGUAAAAACCCUAAAAAAAAUCACCUCCUCAUCUCCUGAAAAACAAAUCCACCGGUAAAAACCCUGAAAAAAUCACCUCCUAAUCCCACCAUUUUAUCGUCUCCUCGCCCCUCCAUCCACCCAUUCUCAGCCUUUCACUCUCAUUUUCACUUCUCACCCAAAAAUACAGAGGAGUGAAAAACCCUCAAACAACCGCUAGAGAGAGGAACGAUUAGCAGAGAGGAUCUUGGAAUUUGGGGAUUUUGCUCCGAGUGAUUAACGCUUUGAAGGGGGUUUUGCAAUUUGAGGUUUUUUUCUCUGAGUGAUUUACGCUUUGGAGGGGGUUUUGCAAUUUGGGGUUUUUUCUCCGAGUGAUUAACGCUUUGGAGGGGGUUUUGCAACUUUCUGUGAGAUGCAACGACAGAGGUAGUAGGUGGCGGACACAACACAGAGAAAUCCAAGAAAGAAAAAUCCCGCUGAUUUGGCCGAUGGCUGUCCAGUUUAAAUACGGCAGUUAAAUAUUGAUUGACAAGGCGAAUUUUGGAGUCGGCAAUUGGCAUGGCUUCCAAAGAUAAGAGUGUUGUUCUAGGAGCAAAGGAUUUGCUUAAGCGAUCAAAUAGCAUUGAUUAUUUACACAGCUGAAGCACGAAAGGCAGGAUAGAGCAAGGUUUCAAGUCAAGAGUUAUGCUGAGAAUGAAUCUGCUCGUGUGGUAGACACUGUGCUCUUCCGUGCUUGGACUCAGGUCGAAGUUUGUCGCUUUUACCAUCCUCUGACAACAACAUUGCAUCCACUCGAUAGGACUUGGCAAGGAAUGAAAACACUUGCUGAACUAAGGAUGAAGAAAACCUUCCAAACAAGGAUUCACUUUACACGAUGAUACAAAACCAUAACAAAGUAACUGUUACUGAUGUUAAGAGACCCUAAUUUGAAGAUGUUAAAAAGAUUGUGCCACUUCUGGAGAGUUCAUGGCCUCUACCACUCUGGGGCAUGUGAGUCGGCUGCUUUUGUAACUCAUAAUUGGAAUGACAUGUAGAGAGGUUUUGGAUAAUUUUGCAGUCUGUUUUACCAGCAUAAAGACAAAAGGUAACGUGCCUUGUGGCAUUGAUGGUCUAUUUCUGCAUUGUGGUAUGUGAAACUAUUUGUGUACAACACCUUGCUGCCAGACUUUCUGAAUUUGUUCAGGUGUUGAAACUCUAUUGUUGCUCUCCAUUCUUCAGCUUUUUGGUGCUUAGGUUACACAUUCAACUAAAAUACAACCCUGUAAGAGUCCUAGGUUGUUCCAAAAAGAGUCCUAGAAUGUAAGAUGAUGAUUGCUAGGUUGCUCAAAAAAAAAUGACUCACGUUUUCCUCCUUUUCCCCCAUACAUUGUUAAGCUAUUAAAUUUAUUACUCUAUUCUAUCUUUUUAGAUUAUGAUUUUUCAAUAUUUUCAUUCUGUUAGAUGCAUUAUUAAUUAAAUUACAUGUUACUUGGCAAUCUUAUUUUAUAGAACGAAUCUGCUCGUGUGGUAGACACUGUGCUCUUGCGUGCUUGGACUCAGGUCGAGUUUGUUGCUUUUUACCAUCCUGUGGCAACGACAUUGCAACCACUAGAUAGGACUUGGCAGCAAUGAAAACACUUGCUGAUAUAAGGAUUGAAAAAACCUUCCAGUGCCAGUCAAUAAGGAUUCAGUUUACUUAUAACUCCUUUUCUUUCCUACUCCAACCUUAAGAAAGAAAUGGAAAUGGAUUAAUAAACAAAUUGAGGGGUACUUCUAAAUUCUAAUAAAGGAAGAUUGAUAACUUUUUAUGGGUGAUUUUAUAAUAUUUUUUGUUAUUUAUUGAAGUUUUAACUUUACUAUUUUAUGUUUGUGAUAAAUGUGAUAAAUGUAGACUAAUAGGAUAAAAAGAUAUUUAGUAUUAAUCACCUCUUUAAUAAGUUUCUAAUCCGUCUUUUCGUUAAAAACUACUAGAAUUAUAUUUAGGUACUACUAUCCUUUUAUAAUUAAUUCUCAUUUAUUAAUAAAAAUAGUCCU
Molecule: non-coding RNA, 1998 nt
Organism: Sesamum indicum (sesame)
Lineage: Eukaryota; Viridiplantae; Streptophyta; Magnoliopsida; Lamiales; Pedaliaceae
Source: RefSeq, a predicted model, not a curated record